AUUGAACGCUGGCGGCAUGCUUUACACAUGCAAGUCGAACGGCAGCGCGGGCUUCGGCCUGGCGGCGAGUGGCGAACGGGUGAGUAAUACAUCGGAACGUGCCCAGUAGUGGGGGAUAGCUCGGCGAAAGCCGGAUUAAUACCGCAUACGACCUGAGAGUGAAAGCGGGGGAUCUUCGGACCUCGCGCUAUUGGAGCGGCCGAUGGCAGAUUAGCUAGUUGGUGGGGUAAAGGCCUACCAAGGCGACGAUCUGUAGCUGGUCUGAGAGGACGACCAGCCACACUGGGACUGAGACACGGCCCAGACUCCUACGGGAGGCAGCAGUGGGGAAUUUUGGACAAUGGGCGAAAGCCUGAUCCAGCAAUGCCGCGUGUGUGAUGAAGGCCUUCGGGUUGUAAAGCACUUUUGGCGGGAACGAAAAGGACUGUGCCAAUACCACGGUUCGAUGACGGUACCCGCAGAAUAAGCACCGGCUAACUACGUG
This 484-nucleotide ribosomal RNA is filed under the name uncultured bacterium. Its description in RNAcentral is "partial 16S ribosomal RNA". It matches the Rfam family "Bacterial small subunit ribosomal RNA", at positions 29 to 507 of the family's 1533-position model. The record is from RNAcentral.